GUCGUCGUGGCGGAAUGGCAUACGUAGCAGGCUGAGAUCCUGUGCCCGCGAGGGCGUGUGGGUUCGACUCCCACCGACGACACCA
RNAcentral lists this transfer RNA (85 nucleotides) under Polyangium spumosum. Its description in RNAcentral is "tRNA-Leu". It matches the Rfam family "tRNA". From Rfam's summary of the family: Transfer RNA (tRNA) molecules are approximately 80 nucleotides in length. Their secondary structure includes four short double-helical elements and three loops (D, anti-codon, and T loops). The record is from RNAcentral. Lineage: Bacteria; Pseudomonadati; Myxococcota; Polyangiales; Polyangiaceae.